RNAcentral lists this ribosomal RNA (429 nucleotides) under bacterium. RNAcentral's name for it is "partial 16S ribosomal RNA". It matches the Rfam family "Bacterial small subunit ribosomal RNA", at positions 355 to 776 of the family's 1533-position model. The record is from RNAcentral.
UAGGGAAUCUUCGGCAAUGGGGGCAACCCUGACCGAGCAACGCCGCGUGAGUGAAGAAGGUUUUCGGAUCGUAAAGCUCUGUUGUAAGAGAAGAACGUGUGUGAGAGUGGAAAGUUCACACAGUGACGGUAACUUACCAAAAAGGGACGGCCAACUACGUGCCAGCAGCCGCGGUAAUACGUAGGUCCCGAGCGUUGUCCGGAUUUAUUGGGCGUAAAGCGAGCGCAGGCGGUUUAAUAAGUCUGAAGUUAAAGGCAGUGGCUUAACCAUUGUUCGCUUUGGAAACUGUUAAACUUGAGUGCAGAAGGGGAGAGUGGAAUUCCAUGUGUAGCGGUGAAAUGCGUAGAUAUAUGGAGGAACACCGGUGGCGAAAGCGGCUCUCUGGUCUGUAACUGACGCUGAGGCUCGAAAGCGUGGGGAGCAAACAGG